GAGAGAGGCUGGCAGCACCGGAGACUGCUAAUCUCCAUCUCCUUGGUUGAACUCCAAGGCUCACUCG
RNAcentral lists this transfer RNA (67 nucleotides) under Aethotaxis mitopteryx. RNAcentral's name for it is "tRNA-Ser". Lineage: Eukaryota; Metazoa; Chordata; Actinopteri; Perciformes; Nototheniidae. The record is from RNAcentral.